AGGCUCUUUAAGGAUGGGUUGACCUCUCUCUUCCUUUACAUGCUGGGAGUUAACUUCUCCUGGUCGUGCGGCGCUGCCCGAUCCCAGGGAGCGGGGAGACCCUGCGCCGCUGGAGCUUCCCCAAGCUGGGGAUGCCCUAGGGAAUCAGCCACACGGAGGUUUCGGGACGAUACGGAAAACAGCCAGGGAACGAAUGCAAAACCCAGUUUCUGUCCACACCGACUCUCCCAGGAGAUGAUUUCUUCCUUUCUUAGAGCAACUUUAUAUAGUUUAACUAGUCUGCACCAGGUAGUCCAGGCUUUUCCCCUUUCCAGUCCCCAUCUGCACGUUUACUUACCCCUGGCCCCUUUAGCUUUCUACCUCGGCCCCAUCAUGAGAUUUAUCGCCCCAGCACCCUUGGGAGGCAGGAGAAUUUCAUUUUACAGCUGCGGCCCAUGGACUAAGUCUCCCAGGGACUGAAACGACGACUCCCAAGAGGCGUCGAGUUGCUGGGCCCACGCGAUUAGCUCCAAACAGCCAAGGAGGGUUUUGGCAAAGCAGGGAAUUGAACACAGCUCUUCCCACAUCCCUGGCCAACAUCCUAAUCCCCGUUUAUCUUCCUCCCUCAAUUUUUUUGGAGCUUUUCACAGGGUAUAAAAUCAAGCCCAUGUCUAAGUCCUUGUAGGAUUAAACCAGUGCUACUGUAUCCCUUUAUUUAGGCCUAUUUAAGUGCACAGAUGUGCUUUGUGUAGCUCUAGGGCUGACGAAAUCCCAAAGACAAGUAAGAUUUGAGGACCAAAAACCAGAUUAUGAUUGUCAUACUGCCGUCUAAGACCCAGAGCCUCUCCGGGUAUCCCUGCCUGCCGGCGAGGUCUGAAAUCCAGCCCUUCCGGGAAGGAUUUUUGCUAACGCACAACAUGAUCACUACUUAAAAGGGAAUUGGAGCCAUAACCAUAUCUAAUGAGUGGGGUAGCAUCAUGGCAUAUCACUGUGCCACGGGAAAAGUGGGCUUAAAGCAGCGCUCUGCUGCGGGGGGAGACCAGGUCUCCGAGCGCUGCAGGGAGCCUCUGCCCACGCGACUUCAUCCCGCUCAGCGCAACGCCACUGCCCGGACCGACCGCGAGGACACGCAACGGCUGUGGCACAGGAGCUAAACUGAUGAAAAUACGCACAGCGAUGCAUCACGGUCAGGAGAAAUUGCAUGAGACCUCUGGAGACGGUCACCUAAUUAGUGCCACUAGCGUCCCUUGGCAGGCGCUGAAACGAUCCAGCACCGUCUACAGCCGCAUCUCUGCUUCCCCGGGGCUGGGGCUGCAGCCGGCACCGCAGCCGGGCUCCUGCAGCCGACGUGAGCCGCGGCCCCGCCGGGAGCUGAGCACCCUGCUCUUCACAGGGCCCCCAAACGCUGGCUCGAAGCUGGUGGUGAGCACGGUCUGCCACGGCGGCUGGUGCGCUGGGACCAGGGAGGGAGCAGCGCGGCCCCGAGGGCUAUGGACGUGCGAGAGGCGUUUUUUAUGAGCGAUUGCAGCCUUCUGGACUGCAGAAGAGAGGACGGCCCUUCCAGAGCCAGGCCGGUGCCUUUUAGAUGUAGCUGGACACGACGCAUCUCAGACGUCCACGUGCAGACGUCCUUUACUGGGGAAGUCUUCGUCCUUUCCAACUGUCUGGGACCAAGUCACCUCUCAUUUACCCAGCCCGAGUGAACAUGCUUUAACGAUUUCUCUGGCCUGGAAAGUCUCUGCUCGCUGUGGCUCCGCUCUGCUCCCGGGCAGGUGACACCAGAUGGCAGUAGUGGCCUUCCGAUCCCAGCAGCUCCGCCCGCUCCAAGGGAAGAUGCAGGGUGAGGAUUUCGCUGCAGCCUGGAGAUUUGCAGGACAGCUUCCCUCUAUGCUCUCGUCUGCUGGAGCUCCCUUCAGCACCCUGCCCAUCUGGGCUGUCAAAAUGUAAUUGCACUGGAUAUCUAUAUGCUGUAGUUGUUUGGUGUGUCAAAAUGACACCAAGACUCCGGCUUAAAAAGGCAAGAGAGAAAAUUCGUAGCUUGGGCUGUGCUUAAUUAAUCAUUUUGUCAUGGCUCUGAUGGCUUUGGAGCGGGACUGACAGGUAAAAGCAAUGAUAGGGAUUUUUGAAGGUCACAGGGAUUUUUGGGUGUCUGGUUGAAGUAACUGCUAGCUCUAAUCAUCUGUUGGGCUCCCAACUGAUCACGCAGAACUUGCAGCAUCCCCCAUUUUGUCCCCGGUCUCAUGGCGCUUUGAGAGAUGCUGGUGGAUGGCGCUGGGGAAUAUAUUUGGAAACAUGCUACCUAAAUGACUUUUUGCUGAGCUUUCCUCUCCUGGCUAAGGUGCAGCUCUGACUUCAUGCACAGCACCCAUAAAAGCUCCUGGGGAUUAUAAGCAAUUUGUAGCCCAAAGCUGUUCCUCCCUUCCUCUUCUCCCCCACCCUGCUGCAAGCAGGGUCCAGGACAGCCAGCUCCUGGAGGUCCCUUCCCUUUUCUGGGCUUGCACAAGACUUCAGGUCUUCCCGCAAGCAGAAAUUGCCAUGGCUAUUGCAGGCCAGGCCGAGCCGCUGCUGAGCCGGCUGGAGAUUCAGCUGUGACGUGCACAUCCCACAGACCAAGCCACCUACAGAGGAGGAGAGUUGAGGCGAGAUCCUCACAGAUCAGGUGAAGAUGGUUUUGGCUGGCUGUGUUUCAGAAGAGCUUCAGGACAGGUUAUGAACCAUAUGAACAUGCUUUGGGGUGAAAUAUUACUUAAUCAGCUUCCUUUGGAAAUAAAUCAAUGGAAGAAAGUUACAUUAGUUCUUUGGUCAGCAGUUUGUUCCCUUACUUUAAAUUACCACGUCGUAGUGCUUCAGUCUCCUGAAUGUUUCAUUUAUGGUGACACCCAAAUAUUUAUUGAUUUUUGUAUUGAUUUGGGGGCUAUCAAUUUACCUGUUAGCCACUGGGUUGCUCCAGGAAUUACUAGUGUACUAACUGCAGACAAAAAAACAAUAAAAACUUGAGUGACUGAUCAUUCCGCGUGUUUGGGCAAAGCAUGCCA
Dromaius novaehollandiae (emu) is the source of this 3014-nucleotide long non-coding RNA. RefSeq lists it as uncharacterized. NCBI's taxonomy places the organism in Eukaryota, Metazoa, Chordata, Aves, Casuariiformes, Dromaiidae. The record is from RefSeq and is a predicted model, not a curated record. The transcript has 4 exons.